Molecule: ribosomal RNA, 112 nt
Filed under: Caerostris darwini
Lineage: Eukaryota; Metazoa; Arthropoda; Arachnida; Araneae; Araneidae
Source: RNAcentral
AACGGCCGUACCAUGCUGAAUAUACCGGUUCUCGUUAGAUCACCGAAGUUAACCAUCAUUGGGCGCGGUCAGUACUUGGGUGGGUGACCACCUGGGAACACUGCGUGCCGUU